GCAUUUUUUUUUUAUUCUUCAUUUAAUGUUGUAUAAUGUCAUUCAAAUGCCAGUUCAAGAGGUUUGAAUCUCUCCUUGCUAUGAGAAUCAGAGCGUAUGCUCAGUGGGAGGUUAAAGUUCUCUUAAACGGAAUGGUGAAAGAACUUCUUUCACCGUAGUAUAUGAAGAUGCAAGGAGAAUGAAUAUCAGAUACUAGGUGCCCUCGUACUAACCUUCAUGGCUUACCUCCACAAGCAUACACACCCACAUUUGCAUCACUCUCUCACUCUUUGCACAUAUAAUCCCUCAACUCUCAUACGAAAUCGCUCCUCUACUUCUACUUAGACUCACAGCUAUUCCUCUUGACCAAACUGAAAUACAAUGGAUGUUUUCCACUCCUCUCAAUACUCUCCGCCCAAAUACUUCACUUGUUCAGGAAAUUUUGAUGUGACCUUAUCAAACACUUCUCGGGAAGCUUCUUCUACAUUUUCCCCUUUCCUCUAAAUUAGCAACUUUUGUUCACCCAAAGAAACCAUUGUUGGGUGUACACUUAAAAUUGCCGUUUGUUCUAGAAUGACACCUUCAUUUCAUAUCACAGAUGGAUUUGAGGAUGAAUGGCCGACUCCUUUUGAAGUUGGAGUCAAUGCUACUUCCCCCACCCAUUUUUCUAUUUGGAAAGGUCCAUAGUACAUGGGAACUGGUUUCUUGUUCCCUAUAUUUGCCACUUGGGUUGUUUUGGCUUCCAGUCAUAGAAAAGAUGCUGAAAAAGCUGGAAAGUAUCCAACUUUCAAGAGGGAGGUUUGCAUUGUGAUAAUACUGAUUUUAUGUCCCAAGCUACUAUAUUUUCUUAUUUUCUCAUGCCAAUAAAGGGGUCUGUCACAAUCUUAAAAUAUCAAGUCAAAAACUUAAAAUAGUAAGCUACUGUAUUUUCUCAUACCAUAGGCUUCAAUAAGUGAAACAAAAAUUUUCGGCAUGGAGGAUGGAAGAGGAGCCUUCUUGUCACAAUCUUAAAAUAAUAAGCCAAAAACUUCAAGAAAAGAAUCUUCAAGUGCACCAUCCUCACUGAAAAACACAGGUUCGAUGAAUGAAUCCACUGCUCAAGCUUACCUUGAAUACAACAUUAGAGGUGUCUGCAUGUGAAGGAGAAGUAAGCUUAAAUAGGGUGAGGGUCCUUUGUAGAGUGAAGGAACACCUUCUGUUGGUCCUAUAUCUUGAGCCGAAGGGGAGAAGACAAAAUGGUUGUUCUACCCCCUUGCCCAAUUAGAAGAAUAUCAUGCUAUUUUCAAAUUGGAGAUGGGAUAAGUGAAUUUUCUCUCGGCCCACAUGAAAGACAUCCACUGUAGACACCAACUUGCCAAUGACGUGACAACUACAAGGAUGGAAAGGGGAUAAAAGAUUUAUUUGUCUCACGACAUCUUUGGCAUAGAUUCUCCUCCUAGGUUUACUAUCGAUUAGAAUGGAGAAAUUUGCUAUUUGAAGGCAGUUCGACGUCUAGAAUCCUAUUUCCACCCAAGGCCUUCUUCCAAGACACUUUGUCCAAAAAGUGUCAGUCUGUGUGAUCAAAGGCUUUCUCAAAGUCAAUCUUAAAAAUAAACUCUCCACCUUACAAUCCUCGCUAUCUUCAAAAUUUAUUUUCCUUUAACUAGGGCUCCUUGAUAUUCCUAGAAAGUACUAGAGAGCUCUUUCCUAAAUCUGUCAAUCAAAACCUUGGCAAUGAUCUUAUGAAGGCUAGUGACAUGGCUUAUGGCUGUAAAGGUGCAUUCAUUGCAGAAGUACAUCCAAGGGUCUCAAUCAUCGCCUUUGGAGCUGGCAAUUUGCUUGUUCUAUUUGGGAUAGUUUUUAAGAAUUUUACAGGGUUUGUUGCCUUGUAAUGGACUGUUCUAUCUUUAGGAGAUUUCGUUUCUGUACCCACAGUUUCAUUACAAGGGACAAUUUCUUUUGCAUGUGGUUUUUGUCUGUUUUAUGAAGUAUUUAGCUUGAAAGGAAUACUAGGAUAUUUAGAGGAGUUAAUAGGUCUUGAGGAGAGGUUUGCACUCUGCCUAGAUUUAGUAUUUCUCUUUGGGCUUCCUGUUCCAAGGUUUAUUAUUAUUUUCUUUUGUAAUUAUUCAUUAGACAUGAUUCUCUUUGGUUGAAGCCCUUAGUUAUUUAGUUAGUCUGCUCCUUUUGUUUGGCCAUUGUUGUUGUAAGUCCCUUGACUCUCUUUCAUGUCUUCUCAAUGAAAGAUUUGGUUAUAGAGA
This is a long non-coding RNA of Cucurbita maxima (winter squash), 2216 nucleotides long. RefSeq lists it as uncharacterized. The record is from RefSeq and is a predicted model, not a curated record. Lineage: Eukaryota; Viridiplantae; Streptophyta; Magnoliopsida; Cucurbitales; Cucurbitaceae. The transcript is spliced from 2 exons.